RNAcentral lists this ribosomal RNA (464 nucleotides) under Vreelandella stevensii. Its description in RNAcentral is "partial 16S ribosomal RNA". It matches the Rfam family "Bacterial small subunit ribosomal RNA", at positions 338 to 795 of the family's 1533-position model. The record is from RNAcentral. Lineage: Bacteria; Pseudomonadati; Pseudomonadota; Gammaproteobacteria; Oceanospirillales; Halomonadaceae.
CCUACGGGGGGCUGCAGUGGGGAAUAUUGGACAAUGGGGGGAACCCUGAUCCAGCCAUGCCGCGGGUGUGAAGAAGGCCCUCGGGUUGUAAAGCACUUUCAGUGAGGAAGAACGCCUGGUGGUUAAUACCCAUCAGGAAAGACAUCACUCACAGAAGAAGCACCGGCUAACUCCGUGCCAGCAGCCGCGGUAAUACGGAGGGUGCGAGCGUUAAUCGGAAUUACUGGGCGUAAAGCGCGCGUAGGUGGCUUGAUAAGCCGGUUGUGAAAGCCCCGGGCUCAACCUGGGAACGGCAUCCGGAACUGUCAAGCUAGAGUGCAGGAGAGGAAGGUAGAAUUCCCGGUGUAGCGGUGAAAUGCGUAGAGAUCGGGAGGAAUACCAGUGGCGAAGGCGGCCUUCUGGACUGACACUGACACUGAGGUGCGAAAGCGUGGGUAGCAAACAGGAUUAGUACCCGGGUAGUC